This 503-nucleotide ribosomal RNA is filed under the name uncultured bacterium. RNAcentral's name for it is "partial 16S ribosomal RNA". It matches the Rfam family "Bacterial small subunit ribosomal RNA", at positions 30 to 523 of the family's 1533-position model. The record is from RNAcentral.
AUUGAACGCUGGCGGCAGGCUUAACACAUGCAAGUCGAGCGGGGUGAUGGUGCUUGCACUAUCACUUAGCGGCGGACGGGUGAGUAAUGCUUAGGAAUCUGCCUAUUAGUGGGGGACAACAUCUCGAAAGGGAUGCUAAUACCGCAUACGUCCUACGGGAGAAAGCAGGGGAUCACUUGUGACCUUGCGACACUAGAUGAGCCUAAGUCGGAUUAGCUAGUUGGUGGGGUAAAGGCCUACCAAGGCGACGAUCUGUAGCGGGUCUGAGAGGAUGAUCCGCCACACUGGGACUGAGACACGGCCCAGACUCCUACGGGAGGCAGCAGUGGGGAAUAUUGGACAAUGGGGGGAACCCUGAUCCAGCCAUGCCGCGUGUGUGAAGAAGGCCUUAUGGUUGUAAAGCACUUUAAGCGAGGAGGAGGCUCUUUUGGUUAAUACCCAAGAUGAGUGGACGUUACUCGCAGAAUAAGCACCGGCUAACUCUGUGCCAGCCGCCGCCGUAA